GGCGCAAGGUGACUGAAAGGUCUUCAAACACUGAGUUUGCCUUCCCUACCAUAUACACUCUUUCCUCACUGGGAGCCAACUGCAAAACAACAGGAGUUUCCUCAGAAAAUAAGGAGUGAAUGGAAUUUGCAACACUGUCAAGACUAAAAGGAACUGCAUUCUCCAAAGGGUACGAAAUGACACUGCCUGGGGGUAGAGCCAGUUUG
This 206-nucleotide unclassified non-coding RNA is filed under the name Hevea brasiliensis (rubber tree). The record is from RNAcentral. Lineage: Eukaryota; Viridiplantae; Streptophyta; Magnoliopsida; Malpighiales; Euphorbiaceae.